This 826-nucleotide long non-coding RNA is filed under the name Manihot esculenta (cassava). RNAcentral describes it as "long non-coding RNA (MESC_LNC006426)". The record is from RNAcentral. Lineage: Eukaryota; Viridiplantae; Streptophyta; Magnoliopsida; Malpighiales; Euphorbiaceae.
CGCAAUUAAAGAACACACAGAGGUAAAUAUCCUUGCGCAGAACUCAGCAGGAAAGAUCCAGAGAGAAGCCAUGGCUGGUUUGCAAAGAUCUGCCGUGUCUUUUAGGAGGCAAGGAUCUUCAGGUAUUGUAUGGGAUGAUAAGUUUUUGUCAGGAGAGCUAAACCAGGUCGCUAACCAAAACCAAGAACACCAACAACAGCGAGAGCUACAAGAGAAGCUAGAUAUCAAUCAAGAAAGGGAUGUUAAGCCAUCAUCAUCAGGAUCAAUCACUACCAUUGAAAGAAGCCGAUCUAACGGUGGACAACGAGCCUACCGCACCGGCAAGGUCUCUCCGGCUAUCGAACCUCCUUCUCCAAGGGUUUCUGCUUGUGGAUUUUGCAGUGCUUUUGGAAAACCAACAAAGAAUCAUCGGAAAAGGGCCGGUAAGCCCAGAUCACGAUAGUUUUCCACUUUUUACGGUAGCUGGGGAUGGAAUAUUCCGGUGAAUUUGGGGGGAGAGGGAUAUGAUUAAUUACAGUAUUACCACUAUUUACAUCUUCUGUCAGGGUAGGGUUAAGACCUCUCGUUCAGCUCACUAGACUGAAACGCAGGGGCUUGUUUUUGGAACAGAACCGAGCUAUAUUCUUUUUCUUGUCCUGUUAAUUUAGCCAUGAUCAUUUCAUUGAGUUUCUCUUUUUCCCCUUAGAUUUUAGAGAUGGUUUUCUGUUUUAGCCGGAUCCAAUUAUGUGUAUAUGGUUUGGUUCUUGAUCAGGAAAUUUUACUUUUGUUCUGUACAAAAAGAAAAUCUCGAUUCUUUCUCUGUUCUUGAUAAUAUUUUUGUGUGAUU